CGCAGCCGCGGUAAUUCCAGCUCCAAUAGCGUAUAUUAAAGUUGUUGCAGUUAAAAGCUCGUAGUUGAAUUUCGGGAUCAGUACGCCGGUCGUGCCUUCGGUAUGCACUGGUGUCACUGGUUUCUCCCUUCUGAAGAACCAUCAUGCCAUUCAGUUGGUGUGGCGGGGAAUCAGGACUGUUACUUUGAAAAAUUAGAGUGUUUAAAGCAGGCUCGCGCUUGAAUACAUUAGCAUGGAAUGAUGAAAUAGGACGUUUGACCCUAUUUUGUUGGUUUCUAGGAUCGACGUAAUGAUUAAUAGGGAUAGUUGGGGGCAUUAGUAUUCAAUUGUCAGAGGUGAAAUUCUUGGAUUUAUUGAAGACUAACUACUGCGAAAGCAUUUGCCAAGGAUGUUUUCAUUAAUCAAGAACGAAAGUUAGGGGAUCGAAGACGAUCAGAUACCGUCGUAGUCUUAACCAUAAACUAUGCCGACUAGGGAUCGGAUGAUGUUAAUUUUUUAAUGA
Molecule: unclassified non-coding RNA, 502 nt
Filed under: uncultured Glomus
Lineage: Eukaryota; Fungi; Glomeromycota; Glomeromycetes; Glomerales; Glomeraceae
Description: SSU rRNA
Rfam family: Eukaryotic small subunit ribosomal RNA
Source: RNAcentral